Molecule: ribosomal RNA, 406 nt
Filed under: uncultured bacterium
Lineage: Bacteria
Description: partial 16S ribosomal RNA
Rfam family: Bacterial small subunit ribosomal RNA
Source: RNAcentral
GACGAACGCUGGCGGCGUGCCUAAUACAUGCAAGUAGAACGAGUGGCGGACGGGUGAGUAAUGUCUGAGAAACUGCCCGAUGGAGGGGGAUAACUACUGGAAACGGUAGCUAAUACCGCAUACCAUCGGAUGUGCCCAGAUGGGAUUAGCUAGUGGGUGGGGUAACUGCUCACCUAGGCGACGCUCCCUAGCUGGUCUGAGAGGAUGACCGGCCACACUUGAACUGAGCCACGGUCCAGACUCCUACGGGAGGCAGCAGUGGGGAAUAUUGCACAAUGGGCGCAAGCCUGAUGCAGCCAUGCCGCGUGUAUGAAGAAGGCCUUCGGGUUGUAAAGUACUUUCAGCGAGGAGGCGGUACUCGCAGAAGAAGCACCGGCUAACUCCGUGCCAGCAGCCGCGGUAAUUC